GACCUAGAGUAUAAAUUCUGCAAAUUUUGAGGGCUUAAAGCUAUUACCGAAACUUCAAACAAAAUAUUUUUAAUACGAUAUUUUGUGGUAGCAGAACAUUCCGUAGGUUGUAGAAGCUAUAGUGUAAACUAUUGUGGAGAUAUCGGAAGUGAGAAUACUUGCAUGAGUAGCACAAAACAACGAUAAGCGUUGUGGCCGUAAGUCUAAGGUUUCCGAUCUAAAGUAAAGCUUGGUCGGCAGAAAUCAAUUUUUCUAAAAAAAGCGGUCCCUAAGCGGACAAGCCAAGGCUUGUAGUAAUGGGUAGGAUUAUGCUGUAAUAAGUUACUGACGAAGAAUUCACUUUAUUUUUAAAAGAUUUGAAAGUAGAUUAUUUUUUCCAAGAAAAAGGUUCUUUAUUUA
Molecule: ribosomal RNA, 399 nt
Filed under: Acrocarpia paniculata
Lineage: Eukaryota; Phaeophyceae; Fucales; Sargassaceae
Description: partial 23S ribosomal RNA
Rfam family: Bacterial large subunit ribosomal RNA
Source: RNAcentral